UGAACGCUGGCGGCGUGCCUAAUACAUGCAAGUCGAGCGAACGGACGAGAAGCUUGCUUCUCUGAUGUUAGCGGCGGACGGGUGAGUAACACGUGGAUAACCUACCUAUAAGACUGGGAUAACUUCGGGAAACCGGAGCUAAUACCGGAUAAUAUUUUGAACCGCAUGGUUCAAAAGUGAAAGACGGUCUUGCUGUCACUUAUAGAUGGAUCCGCGCUGCAUUAGCUAGUUGGUGAGGUAACGGCUUACCAAGGCAACGAUGCAUAGCCGACCUGGAAGGGUGAUCGGCCACACUGGAACUGAGACACGGUCCAGACUCCUACGGGAGGCAGCAGUAGGGAAUCUUCCGCAAUGGGCGAAAGCCUGACGGAGCAACGCCGCGUGAGUGAUGAAGGUCUUCGGAUCGUAAAACUCUGUUAUUAGGGAAGAACAUAUGUGUAAGUAACUGUGCACAUCUUGACGGUACCUAAUCAGAAAGCCACGGCUAACUACGUG
This 495-nucleotide ribosomal RNA is filed under the name uncultured bacterium. Its description in RNAcentral is "partial 16S ribosomal RNA". It matches the Rfam family "Bacterial small subunit ribosomal RNA", at positions 30 to 507 of the family's 1533-position model. The record is from RNAcentral.